ACUGUCUGCUUCAAGAGACAGGGGAAUCCUUGGAUGCCGACGCUACCUAAUUUCGAGGGUACAGUCUGACACUGCUGUAGCCACAGCUAAAACUUUGGCCGCGGGCCAGUGACUAUCAUAAUUCAUCCUUUUUAAAAUGUCAUUUUAAAUUUUAUUUAAUCCAGACGAUCCAUGAGAACGCAGUCCCGCGAAAAGCAGGACUAGUAAUCACUCCUUUUUGGGGUGUAGAGUUUUUUUUUUCUUUUCUGCUGAACAGAUUGUUCCUUUUCCUGCACAGAAUUUUUCUUAAGAAGCAAGUAUGCUGCGCUCUCUCCUACUGGGUUGGAAUACCCAGACACUGCAGUCCCGGAAGUGCCUCUGAGGACAAUUAUGCCACCAGCUUCAGCAUCAAACUGAAACCAGCAAUGGAGGCUUCUGUGGAGAGUGAUGGCUGCCGGUCUCCGUUGCUGGUCAGGCCUGAUGACAUCGAAUCAACAUUCCUGUCUCGAGACACGGGUUAGACAUGUCUGCACCCAAAUCAAACAAAUGGAAAAAAAAAUCAUCCCCCCGGCAUGUAUUUGUUAAAUCAUGUGUCUUCCAUUUUGAUUUUAGCAUAUUGGUAAUCAUGACAUUGGGGAACUUUUUCCCCUUUUAAUGCAUUUGUAAUAAAUAACGUGUAGACAUAUUAGGGACUCCAAGAGUUGUUGAUGCAUAAUAUUUUUUUUUUUUGGUGUGGUGUGAAUCAACAUUCCUGUCUCUUGAUCCAAGAUAGACAUGUCCGUAAACAAAACUUGCAAAUGGAAAAAAAUGUAUCCUGCUGCAUGUGUGUGAUUCCUAAUCUUCCACCCGGAUUGCAUUGAACUUGUGGGUGUCGGCGAGGUCGUGGCAUCGCAGACCCGCUUGUCAAUUUCUUCCGCAUUUGCAAUGGAAAACGUGUAAUUAUAUCAGGAAUACUAAUACCCGGUGAUGUACAUUCAUACAAUUUGGGGAAACUGUCAAAAUGACACAGAACAACUCAAAGACAGUCCUGACAGACUUGAACUACCAUACCGCUUGUCUGUUUACAGAAAUCCACAGGUGGCUCUAGUGGGCCCAAGGGAACCUCUUGCAGUGCAGUAUCUUCCACAUGUCCCGUGUCCACACUCAAACAGCUGGACCCAUUUUCCUUCAUUUGCAUACAUCUUCACAGUACUUUACUGAAGCUCAGAGUCCCCCACCUCUCAUUAAGUUA
Molecule: long non-coding RNA, 1210 nt
Organism: Megalops cyprinoides (Indo-Pacific tarpon)
Lineage: Eukaryota; Metazoa; Chordata; Actinopteri; Elopiformes; Megalopidae
Exons: 4
Source: RefSeq, a predicted model, not a curated record